Molecule: ribosomal RNA, 256 nt
Filed under: uncultured prokaryote
Description: partial 16S ribosomal RNA
Rfam family: Bacterial small subunit ribosomal RNA
Source: RNAcentral
CACGUAGGGGCGAGCGUUGUCCGGAAUUACUGGGCGUAAAGGGCGCGCAGGCUGUUAUGCGAGUCUGCUGUGAAAUGUACCGGCUCAACCGGUGCCUUGCGGCGGAUACUGCAUAGCUGGAGUACUGGAGAGGGAAGUGGAAUUCCCGGUGUAGCAGUGAAAUGCGUAGAUAUCGGGAGGAACAUCCGUGGCGAAGGCGACUGCCUGGACCAGCACUGACACUGAGGCACGAAAGCGUGGGGAGCAAACAGGAUUA